UAAUUUUUUCAGUUCAGCGCUCAGUAGAUUCCAGUUUUCAUUUGAACAACGGCUUGAUAUAGAUUCCAGGAACUGCUCACUGAACAAUGACAGUUCACUAACCAUUCCUUCAAUAUUCGCCCGUGCGUUGCGUUGUCAAGACAAGAUCUAGGACCGACUCGCCACGUGUCGGAGCAGAAACAAUCUGUGACAAACUGAACUGAGAUAUCAAACAAAGGAAUUCUUUACAUUCA
This 233-nucleotide long non-coding RNA is filed under the name Dermacentor andersoni. RNAcentral describes it as "uncharacterized LOC126519886". The record is from RNAcentral. Lineage: Eukaryota; Metazoa; Arthropoda; Arachnida; Ixodida; Ixodidae.